GCUGGGUGUGGUGGUGCACACCUGUAAUCCCAGCUACUUGGGAGGCUGAGGCAGGAGAAUUGCUUGAACCCAGGAGGCAGAGGUUGCAGUGAGCUGAGAUCGUGCCACUGCACUCCAGCCUGGGUGACAGAGUGAGACUCCCUCUCAA
RNAcentral lists this non-coding RNA (148 nucleotides) under Homo sapiens (human). Lineage: Eukaryota; Metazoa; Chordata; Mammalia; Primates; Hominidae. The record is from Rfam by way of RNAcentral.